Molecule: transfer RNA, 72 nt
Filed under: Capra hircus (goat)
Lineage: Eukaryota; Metazoa; Chordata; Mammalia; Artiodactyla; Bovidae
Also listed under: 1 other name
Rfam family: tRNA
About the family: Transfer RNA (tRNA) molecules are approximately 80 nucleotides in length. Their secondary structure includes four short double-helical elements and three loops (D, anti-codon, and T loops). Further hydrogen bonds mediate the characteristic L-shaped molecular structure. tRNAs have two regions of fundamental functional importance: the anti-codon, which is responsible for specific mRNA codon recognition, and the 3' end, to which the tRNAs corresponding amino acid is attached (by aminoacyl-tRNA synthetases). tRNAs cope with the degeneracy of the genetic code in two manners: having more than one tRNA (with a specific anti-codon) for a particular amino acid; and 'wobble' base-pairing, i.e. permitting non-standard base-pairing at the 3rd anti-codon position.
Source: Rfam by way of RNAcentral
UUCCUGAUGGCUCAGAUGGUAAAGAAUCUGCCUGCAAUGCAGGAGACCUGGGUUCAACUCCUGGGUUGGAAA